GAUGAACGCUGGCGGCGUGCCUAAUACAUGCAAGUCGAGCGAACAGAUGAGGAGCUUGCUCCUCUGACGUUAGCGGCGGACGGGUGAGUCACACGUGGAUAACCUACCUAUAAGACUGGGAUAACUUCGGGAAACCGGAGCUAAUACCGGAUAAUAUAUUGAACCGCAUGGUUCAAUAGUGAAAGACGGUUUUGCUGUCACUUAUAGAUGGAUCCGCGCCGCAUUAGCUAGUUGGUAAGGUAACGGCUUACCAAGGCAACGAUGCGUAGCCGACCUGAGAGGGUGAUCGGCCACACUGGAACUGAGACACGGUCCAGACUCCUACGGGAGGCAGCAGUAGGGAAUCUUCCGCAAUGGGCGAAAGCCUGACGGAGCAACGCCGCGUGAGUGAUGAAGGUCUUCGGAUCGUAAAACUCUGUUAUUAGGGAAGAACAAAUGUGUAAGUAACUAUGCACGUCUUGACGGUACCUAAUCAGAAAGCCACGGCUAACUACGUG
Molecule: ribosomal RNA, 497 nt
Filed under: uncultured bacterium
Lineage: Bacteria
Description: partial 16S ribosomal RNA
Rfam family: Bacterial small subunit ribosomal RNA
Source: RNAcentral